This 71-nucleotide transfer RNA is filed under the name Byasa polyeuctes. RNAcentral describes it as "tRNA-Leu". Lineage: Eukaryota; Metazoa; Arthropoda; Insecta; Lepidoptera; Papilionidae. The record is from RNAcentral.
ACUAUUUUGACAGAAAAAAUGUAAUGAUUUUAGAAGUCAUAAAUAUAUAUGAUUAGAAUAUAUAUAUAGUA